RNAcentral lists this ribosomal RNA (500 nucleotides) under uncultured bacterium. RNAcentral's name for it is "bacterial SSU rRNA". It matches the Rfam family "Bacterial small subunit ribosomal RNA", at positions 40 to 507 of the family's 1533-position model. The record is from RNAcentral.
CGGCGUGCUUAACACAUGACAAGUCGAACGAGACGAUUUAGAAGCUUGUCUUUUAUUGAGUCGAGUGGCAAACGGGUGAGUAACGCGUAGACAACCUGCCGCAAAGAUGGGGACAACAGUCCGAAAGGACUGCUAAUACCGAAUGUUGUAUCUCCUCCGCAUGGAAGAGAUAUUAAAGAUGGCCUCUACUUGUAAGCUAUCGCUUUGCGAUGGGUCUGCGUCUGAUUAGCUAGUUGGUGGGGCAACGGCCUACCAAGGCGACGAUCAGUAGCCGGUCUGAGAGGAUGAACGGCCACAUUGGAACUGAGACACGGUCCAGACUCCUACGGGAGGCAGCAGUGGGGAAUCUUCCGCAAUGGGCGAAAGCCUGACGGAGCAACGCCGCGUGAGUGAAGAAGGUCUUCGGAUCGUAAAGCUCUGUUGUCGGGGACGAAUGUUGAGACCUAGAACAUAGGUUUCAAAUGACGGUACCUGACGAGGAAGCCACGGCUAACUACGUG